This is a non-coding RNA of Tinamus guttatus (white-throated tinamou), 197 nucleotides long. NCBI's taxonomy places the organism in Eukaryota, Metazoa, Chordata, Aves, Tinamiformes, Tinamidae. The record is from RefSeq and is a predicted model, not a curated record.
ACUCCCUGAGAAAUCAGUCCUUUGCAUUAGAACAAGGAGUUUAAAUGGAGAUAAAAGCAUAGGACAGAUUCUUACCUAGUGUAAACUGUUAUAUUUAGGCUAUUUUAGGAUGGCUCCAUUUGUUUAAAUGGCUGUCCCCCUUCAUACUGCUGUGAAUCUCAGUUUUUAAUGCUGAUGAAAUACGUGACCCGAGCAGC